UAAGACAUGAAGAAAGAACCAAAGAGUUCUCAAAGUUUAGUACCCACGGCUGGUAAAAACCAUAAGACAUGAAUGACUGACCUUGCGGCCUAAUGAUUCCUAAGACAAAGACAUAAAAGAAUGGAAAACCAUAAGACAAAGGAGUCAAAAGACAUUGUAAGGGUAGUGCAUGCAUGUAAGGAAAUGAGUUGCGAUAUGUUGGAUGGAGCGGACUAAAGAAAUCUUAAGACAAGAUUGUGACUUGUUUGAUGGUAAAAAUGACCAGAACUUGGACCAACGUACGGCUUAAAGAAGGUAUGUGCUUCUCAAGUCACGGUGUUCAGAUUGUUAAGAAUUUUGAUAGGUAUAUGCUUUCAAACCUUUUUAUUUUUGUUUAAGUGCUUUCCAAACUUGUUUGUAAUUAGUAUAUGAAAAUCACAAGUGAGAGACCCAUACAACAUCCUGAGCUCCAAAGUGGUAGUUUCUGGUGCUUUUAUCAAGCCUUAAUGAUGACGCAGUUGGGAACAGAUUCCAAUUCGAGAGACUAGGUACUAUUUUCAGUUUGAAAAUCAUAAAAAUUGCUUGCGUUUCUAGAUGAGCGCAUUGUGUAUUUUAAUUUUACUAUUCUCUAUGUUUCAGUGCUUGUGUAUCAUAAGCUCUCUUAUUCUAUAUAGUGGAUGUAGAGUCUCUCGUAGAUUAACUUAUGUAGUUUGUGUUCCUUGAACCUUGAAAGAAUUUUUUUGCCUUCUGCUCUAAAACUUUGGUGAUUGUUUUAAACAUGUGAAUGACAUCCUAGGAUUUUGCAUCA
Molecule: non-coding RNA, 787 nt
Organism: Camelina sativa (false flax)
Lineage: Eukaryota; Viridiplantae; Streptophyta; Magnoliopsida; Brassicales; Brassicaceae
Source: RefSeq, a predicted model, not a curated record